AAAUUUACCACAUCAUUUUGGCGUGGUCCAUGAGGCUCGUCGCACCCAGCUCAAACACUUUCCCUGCUAGCGGUGAUGGUUUUGGAGAUCUAUUCGCAUCUUCUCCCAUUCGCCGAUUCAUCCAAUGUGGAAGACACCAUGUGCUGCAUCACUGCCAAUUUGACCACUCUUUAUAAUUUUGCCUGGUUCCAAUGUGGAAACUGUUGUACAAGAAUAUCAGCUUUACUGUAUGGGAUAUUGGGAUGUUGAUGAUCAGGACAAGGAAUGAGUUCAUCUCCCCACCCCGCCAUGCCCUUUUAUCAUUCUUAUGGAACGUCAUAUAAUAGUGUGAUUCUAGAUAUUUCAUGUUUGUGGUGUGGGAUUAUGUCUUAGCCUUGCCCAAGAAGACUGUUCUUUCUAAAAUCAGAUAGAUCAACUGUUCUUAAACAAUUUGUUAUGAGAUUAUGGAAUGUAGUUAUCCUUUUCAGAUGCUUUGCAUCCCCAUUAUGCUUGUGGCUGAUGAUUUGAGAUAUAUAUAAUGUGUGACUUGUUGCCUGCAUUCCUGCAGACCUUUUAUUUUCUGAAAAUGCUCCAUCCAUAACAUACGAGUAUAAUUGUUUUUUGAUAUAUUUUUUUGUGUGAGUAUAUUGCCUUAGCCUUUGCUGGGUAGAGUCUUAGUGACCUUGGAUGUGUAGGGAUAAUGCAUAGGCGAAAACUAUAUGUGCUUAUGGGACAGUUCGGUGCUGACUGCUGAGUUUACUUUUUCUAUGAGCACCUAACAUAAUCACAAAGCUACAUGUGUCCCUGCACCUUGGUUUUAGCUCUAUUCUUAAGUCUAUAGGGAAGCUAAUCUAUGUGCUUACGAGACGGUCAGGUGCUGAUUAUACAUUGUAUCUGCACCUAACAUAAUCAUAAGCUAUAUUUAUUUCUGCCAACUUGGUUUUCAAUCUCUUCUCAGUAAUAUAGUGAAGAGAAUCCAUGUUGUGGCUGACAUGUUUUGGUAUUUUGAUUAAUUCAGAAAAUACAUCUUUGCAAUUAAAAACUACUUCCAAUGAAAAAGGAACUGUUAAGAGUCCUACAUUGAAAAUAUAAGAGAUAACAAAUGGGUUUAUAAGGUCAUGUCUUUGUCUAGCUAAUUGAUUGGAUUUCAUAUUUUAGUGUGGUUUGGCUCAUGUGUAUUAUAGCCCAGUUGAUUGACUUUGGCCAAAUGUUAUAUUCUUAAGGAACAAGGGCAGAACAACAUGUUUAGUUGGUUCUGAUGAUGAAGGGGUUGGAGACUGAUUACCUUCCCAUUGUAAAUAUGUUACGGAGUACUUGGUUUAGGCUUCUCUAAGUUUUGUAGAAAAUAGAUGAAAUGAACUACCAACUUACCCUCCAAAGAAUUUAAAAGAAAAAAAGAAGCUGAGGUCUGCCCGGGGGAUUGAACCAUUUAUUAAACAUUGCAUUGGGUUCAAAAUGUGGUUUAUUAGUUGUGCUUAGCAAUACUAUUGAAUGAAUACCUUCUACAUCUUGAAAAUUGAAAUUGCUGAAAAUAAAAUGUGUAUUUCCAUCUAUCAUGUUUUGGGUGGUUUUGGAUUCGACCUUUAUGGAGAGACACUAUUUCCAAAACACACGGGGUCUUUUCUUUGUGGUUGACAGCAAUGACCGAGACCAUAUUUUGUAGCAACGAGGAAGGUAUGAGCUUUGCAGGAUAUGUUUAACAAGGUUGGUUUAACAUUCUGGAUUUCGUAUUGAGGAAUAUCAAGAUAAAUGUCUGAGGAUAGCUGCACAUAUUAAAAGCAGUUCUAACUGUUUUCCCAGAAAUAUUAUUUUUACAGGAUUGAAUUAAGAGAUGCUGUACUUGUUUUUGCAAACAAACAAGGUGUCAAAAGAGUUAUACUACAUGAACUUCCUAUUUCUUCACUGUCACUUUUACUUUCUUGCGUUUACAGUGUUGUGUAGAAUACUACAAAGCAUUACAGACCAAUGAUUUGUUAUUCUGAGUCAUGUUUAGUGUUUGUUCAUAUUUUGGACCUAGUUUCUUUGUGAUUUAUGCCAAUUCAUCAGAUGGAUUAGUGCUUUAUUCUGGAAAAAAUAAAUAAAUAUAAAAUUACACCAAA
Long non-coding RNA from Ipomoea triloba (trilobed morning glory), 2078 nucleotides. RefSeq lists it as uncharacterized. NCBI's taxonomy places the organism in Eukaryota, Viridiplantae, Streptophyta, Magnoliopsida, Solanales, Convolvulaceae. The transcript has 2 exons. The record is from RefSeq and is a predicted model, not a curated record.